RNAcentral lists this ribosomal RNA (378 nucleotides) under uncultured soil bacterium. RNAcentral's name for it is "bacterial SSU rRNA". It matches the Rfam family "Bacterial small subunit ribosomal RNA", at positions 26 to 398 of the family's 1533-position model. The record is from RNAcentral.
AGGACGAACGCUGGCGGCGUGCUUAACACAUGCAAGUCGAGCGGUAAGGCCUUUCGGGGUACACGAGCGGCGAACGGGUGAGUAACACGUGGGUGAUCUGCCCUGCACUUCGGGAUAAGCCUGGGAAACUGGGUCUAAUACCGGAUAUGACCUCAGGUUGCAUGACGUUGGGGUGGAAAGAUUUAUCGGUGCAGGAUGGGCCCGCGGCCUAUCAGCGUUGGUUGGUGGGUAAUGGCCUACCGAAGGCGACGACGGGUAGCCGACCUGGAGAGGGUCGACCGGCCACACGUGGGACUGAGACACCGGCCAGACUCCGUACGGGAGCAGCGAGGUGGGAAUAGUUGCACAAGUGGGACGAAAGCCUGAUGCAGCGACGCG